This 253-nucleotide ribosomal RNA is filed under the name uncultured bacterium. RNAcentral's name for it is "partial 16S ribosomal RNA". It matches the Rfam family "Bacterial small subunit ribosomal RNA", at positions 524 to 776 of the family's 1533-position model. The record is from RNAcentral.
UACGUAGGUGGCAAGCGUUGUCCGGAAUUACUGGGCGUAAAGGGCGUGUAGGCGGCCUUUUAAGUCAGACGUGAAAACCCUGGGCUUAACCCAGGAACUGCGUUUGAAACUGGAAGGCUUGAGGACCGGAGAGGGUAGUGGAAUUCCCAGUGUAGCGGUGAAAUGCGUUGAUAUCCACAGGAACUCCGGUGGCGAAGGCGGCACGCUGGACCCGCCCUGACGCUGAGGCGCGAAAGCCAGGGGAGCGAACGGG